Molecule: ribosomal RNA, 253 nt
Filed under: uncultured bacterium
Lineage: Bacteria
Description: partial 16S ribosomal RNA
Rfam family: Bacterial small subunit ribosomal RNA
Source: RNAcentral
UACAUGGGGUGCAAACGUUGCUCGGAAUUAUUGGGCGUAAAGCGCACGUAGGUGGUCUGUUAUGUCAGAUGUGAAAGCCCUCGGCUUAACUGAGGAAGUGCACCUGAAACUGGCAGGCUUGAGUACGAAAGAGGGUCGCGGAAUUCCCGGUGUAGUGGUGGAAUGCGUAGAUAUCGGGAGGAACACCAGUGGCGAAGGCGGUUGCCUGGAGCUUUGCUGACGCUGAGGCGCGAAAGCGUGGGGAGCGAUCCGG